GCUGACGAGUGGCGGACGGGUGAGUAAUGUCUGGGAAACUGCCUGAUGGAGGGGGAUAACUACUGGAAACGGUGGCUAAUACCGCAUAACGUCGCAAGACCAAAGAGGGGGACCUUCGGGCCUCUUGCCAUCAGAUGUGCCCAGAUGGGAUUAGCUUGUUGGUGAGGUAACGGCUCACCAAGGCGACGAUCCCUAGCUGGUCUGAGAGGAUGACCAGCCACACUGGAACUGAGACACGGUCCAGACUCCUACGGGAGGCAGCAGUGGGGAAUAUUGCACAAUGGGCGCAAGCCUGAUGCAGCCAUGCCGCGUGUAUGAAGAAGGCCUUCGGGUUGUAAAGUACUUUCAGCGGGGAGGAAGGUGUUGUGGUUAAUAACCGCAGCAAUUGACGUUACCCGCAGAAGAAGCACCGGCUAACUCCGUGCCAGCAGCCGCGGUAAUACGGAGGGUGCAAGCGUUAAUCGGAAUUACUGGGCGUAAAGCGCACGCAGGCGGUCUGUCAAGUCGGAUGUGAAAUCCCCGGGCUCAACCUGGGAACUGCAUUCGAAACUGGCAGGCUUGAGUCUUGUAGAGGGGGGUAGAAUUCCAGGUGUAGCGGUGAAAUGCGUAGAGAUCUGGAGGAAUACCGGUGGCGAAGGCGGCCCCCUGGACAAAGACUGACGCUCAGGUGCGAAAGCGUGGGGAGCAAACAGGAUUAGAUACCCUGGUAGUCCACGCCGUAAACGAUGUCUACUUGGAGGUUGUGCCCUUGAGGCGUGGCUUCCGGAGCUAACGCGUUAAGUAGACCGCCUGGGGAGUACGGCCGCAAGGUUAAAACUCAAAUGAAUUGACGGGGGCCCGCACAAGCGGUGGAGCAUGUGGUUUAAUUCGAUGCAACGCGAAGAACCUUACCUGGUCUUGACAUCCACAGAAUUUUGCAGAGAUGCGGAAGUGCCUUCGGGAACUGUGAGACAGGUGCUGCAUGGCUGUCGUCAGCUCGUGUUGUGAAAUGUUGGGUUAAGUCCCGCAACGAGCGCAACCCUUAUCCUUUGUUGCCAGCGGUUAGGCCGGGAACUCAAAGGAGACUGCCAGUGAUAAACUGGAGGAAGGUGGGGAUGACGUCAAGUCAUCAUGGCCCUUACGACCAGGGCUACACACGUGCUACAAUGGCGCAUACAAAGAGAAGCGACCUCGCGAGAGCAAGCGGACCUCAUAAAGUGCGUCGUAGUCCGGAUUGGAGUCUGCAACUCGACUCCAUGAAGUCGGAAUCGCUAGUAAUCGUGGAUCAGAAUGCCACGGUGAAUACGUUCCCGGGCCUUGUACACACCGCCCGUCACACCAUGGGAGUGGGUUGCAAAAGAAGUAGGUAGCUUAACCUUCGGGAGGGCGCUUACCACUUUGUGAUUCAUGACUGGGGUGAAGUCGUAACAAGGUAACCGUAGGGGAACCUGCGGUUGGAUCACCUCCUUACCUUAAAGAAGC
RNAcentral lists this ribosomal RNA (1461 nucleotides) under Salmonella enterica subsp. enterica serovar Kentucky. RNAcentral's name for it is "bacterial SSU rRNA". It matches the Rfam family "Bacterial small subunit ribosomal RNA". The record is from RNAcentral. Lineage: Bacteria; Pseudomonadati; Pseudomonadota; Gammaproteobacteria; Enterobacterales; Enterobacteriaceae.